AGAACGAACGCUGGCGGCAGGCUUAACACAUGCAAGUCGAGCGCCCCGCAAGGGGAGCGGCAGACGGGUGAGUAACGCGUGGGAACAUACCCUCCGGUUCGGAAUAGCUCAGGGAAACUUGGAUUAAUACCGGAUACGGCCUAGCGGCGAAAGAUUCAUCGCCGGAGGAUUGGCCCGCGUUCGAUUAGCUAGUUGGUGAGGUAACGGCUCACCAAGGCGACGAUCGAUAGCU
RNAcentral lists this ribosomal RNA (232 nucleotides) under uncultured bacterium. RNAcentral's name for it is "partial small subunit ribosomal RNA". It matches the Rfam family "Bacterial small subunit ribosomal RNA", at positions 26 to 288 of the family's 1533-position model. The record is from RNAcentral.